UAGAUAAUUAAUAGGUUAGUUGAAGAACAACUUCAGGCUGGUCUUAUGGAACCAACACUUAGUCUUUGGAACACCCCCAUUUUGUUAUUAAGAAAAAGUCAGGUAAUUGGAGAUUACUACAGGAUUUAAGGAUGACAACUCAGCAAUUAAGCCUAUGGGAUCAUUACAGCCAGGUCUUUCUUCCCCCACAGCCAUCCCUUUAAACUAUAGCUUGAUGGAAAUAGAUCUAAAAGAUUGUUUUUUUUUUUUCUCAAUAAGGUUACAUCCUGAAGAUUGUGAAAACAU
Molecule: small RNA, 285 nt
Filed under: Marmota monax (woodchuck)
Lineage: Eukaryota; Metazoa; Chordata; Mammalia; Rodentia; Sciuridae
Source: RNAcentral